This 777-nucleotide long non-coding RNA is filed under the name Brassica napus (rape). RNAcentral describes it as "long non-coding RNA (BNAP_LNC011826)". The record is from RNAcentral. Lineage: Eukaryota; Viridiplantae; Streptophyta; Magnoliopsida; Brassicales; Brassicaceae.
AUGUUUCUUGCUUGCUGCUAAAGCUUGUACAUGUUCCAUGAACACUCUCCAUUCCUUCCUGGUGAUGCGAUCAUCAGCUCCACUCCCUUUCUCCUGCUCUCUUAGCACCACACUGUCUUCUACUGAUUCACCCAUGUAGGCUGAGUAAGAACACUCUCCUCUAACCAUCUGGUGAACUACAUCCUUGAUCCCCUUCAAGCCCAUCAUGUGUCUUAAGUCAUCCGACUCACUAUCCUCUCUCCAAGGUCUUCUCAUCAUGAACCACACCUUGGAAAUCUUUCUCAACCUUCUCCUUUUACAGCUUGUACCACCUCUCCACUGAGUUGAUCCCUUGUUCUUCCCACACACACCACGCACAUGUUGAACAAGCUUACAAAUCCCAUUCACAAGAAGGUUAAAUACAACAUCUUGUUCCUGCCUUUCUUGAAUCACUUUCGGAUCUGAUGUGCUUGGCCUCAACACAUCUAGCUCCGACCAUACACAUUUCAGCCUUCCCACAAGCUGAUACAACUCGCCCUUUCCAUGUUUCCAGUCUUGGAUAACACCCCUGGCUUCAUGAACCUUCAACUUUGCUGUCUGAUCUUCUUCAGCAGCUAUCUCCUUUAAAGGUUCCACCUUUACAUGGAUCUUCGCCAAACUUGCUGUCUGACUUUCUUCAGCAGCUACCUCCUUUAAAGGUUCCACCUUUACAUGAUUACUCCAAAUCCCACAGCUUUUCAAAGCUGUCUUUACCACUCUUGACAAUACCCACUCGUUCUCUUCUUCAAACUUCUCUGA